Myotis myotis is the source of this 720-nucleotide long non-coding RNA. RefSeq lists it as uncharacterized. The transcript has 3 exons. NCBI's taxonomy places the organism in Eukaryota, Metazoa, Chordata, Mammalia, Chiroptera, Vespertilionidae. The record is from RefSeq and is a predicted model, not a curated record.
CUGUCACUUCUCCUCCAUUGUCAGAUCUAUCCCACCUGAUGUCUCAGCUGUUGUCAUUCCUUCUGCUCCCCCGCAGGCUAUGGAGCUGCCUGGUGCUUUAAAUGGAUGGACCAUAAAGCCUUUGUGAAGUUGCCUGUAUAUCCUUUAUGUUUCAUUCUUAGACAGAACCUCCCCUCAUGGCUGACAGAAGGCUGCAGCCUCUCAAGACUUCACACUGCCAGGACUUCAAGUCUGUUGGGGAGAAGGAGACCACUUGUCCUCAGCAUAUGAACAAAAGCCCCAAGUCUGGUUAUCAUUGGCUGAAUUGGGUCAUGUGCGCAUCCUGAAAUCAAUCACUUUGGGGCCCUGUCUUAUUGAGGAAGGCAGUGACGGAGAACGCCUGGCCUAUCACAUGACUGAUCUCCGCUGUCAUGAGCCAUCGUUCUCUAACUGCAAGCUUUCAUUUUCAAAGUCCUGGCAUGAUUUCAGGAGCUGUAAACCUUCAUGUGAGUAAGUGAGCAGUAAGAACUGGCAGUUUUUCAAACCCAAGUCUUUUCAGCUUUAAACCCACAUUUAGCUAUGAUGGGUUUUUUCCCACCUUAGUUUGGACAUUCUUUCUGGUGAAUACUUUUUUGAUAAAUAAAAUAGGGUGGAGGUGUAUUUGACCAGGACAAAUAUGGGCUGGUACAGUUAGGGCUAACAAUCGAAAGAUAGUCAUAACAGCCCCAACAUUAAUUCCAA